RNAcentral lists this long non-coding RNA (2209 nucleotides) under Fragaria vesca (wild strawberry). RNAcentral's name for it is "long non-coding RNA (FVES_LNC000719)". Lineage: Eukaryota; Viridiplantae; Streptophyta; Magnoliopsida; Rosales; Rosaceae. The record is from RNAcentral.
UUGAUGGAAGUAAAGAGGAUAGCUUAAGAUAUGCUUAUUCAAAAGAAACAGUAGCAAAUCACUGAACUUGAUAGCGGACUAUAAGGAUAUAUUGAGAUUAAUUACCAGGAGGCAAGUGAGCUCAUUAUCUAGUAGUGGUGAGGAGGAGGAGGUGAGGAGUAGAUGUAAGCCGGUGGAGUGUGAACGGGAGGAGUAGGAGGCUUGUAAGGCUUCGUUGGUGGUGGUGGUGGUGGUGGUGGUGACUUGUAGUGGUAUGGAAUGUGGGGUGGAGAGUAGACUGGAGGAGGAGGAGAAGGCGGUGGUGGAGACUUGUAGUGGUAAGGCGGUGACUUGGGAGGGUAGUGGGGGUGCUUAGGUGGUGAGUACACUGGUGGUGUUGGGGAUGGUGGUGGCUUAGGAGGGUAAUGGGGGUGCUUGGGUGGUGAGUACUUGGGUGGUGUUGGAGAGGGUGGUGACUUGGGAGGGUAGUGAGGAUGCUUGGGUGGUGAGUACACUGGUGGUGUUGGUGAGGGUGGUGACUUGGGAGGGUAAUGAGGGUGCUUGGGUGGUGAGUAGACCGGUGUCUUAGGUGGUGACUUGGGGGGGUAGUAGGGGUGGUGAGGUGGUGAGUAGACUGGCGUUGGUGGUGGAGGAGACUUGUAGUGGUAUGGCUUCUUUGGUGGUGGUGGUGAGUGAUGUGGGUGGUAGGGCUUCUUGUGUGGUGGCGGGGGUGGUGGAGACUUGUAGUGGUAAGGCUUCUUCGGUGGUGGUGGAGGUGGUGGAGACUUGUAGUGGUAUGGCUUCUUUGGUGGUGGUGGUGAGUGGUGUGGAUGGUAGGGCUUCUUGUGUGGUGGGGGUGGUGGAGGAGACUUGUAAUGGUAAGGGACCUUCGGUGGUGGCGGUGAUGGAGGAGGAGGAGACUUGUAGUGGUAAGGCACCUUAGGUGGUGGUGGUGAUGGAGGAGGAGGAGACUUGUAGUGGUAUGGCACCUUUGGUGGUGGUGGUGACGGAGGUGGUGGAGAUUUGUAGUGGUAGACAGGUGUCUUUGGUGGCGGGUACACCGGAGGCUUGGGAGGUGACUUGGGAGGGUAAUGUGGGUGCUUAGGAGGAGAGUACACCGGAGGCUUAGGUGGUGACUUUGGUGGGUAAUGGGGAUGCUUAGGCGGCGAGUACACCGGUGGUGUGGGUGAGGGUGGUGACUUUGGUGGGUAAUGAGGAUGCUUUGGUGGAGAGUACACCGGAGGCUUAGGCGGUGACUUGGGAGGAUAGUAAGGAUGAUGGGGUGGUGCGUAGUGCACUGGUGGCGGAGGCGGCGGUGGUGACUUGUAGUGGUAAGGAGGAGAAGCAGGUGGUGGAGGAGAGGAGUAAGGGUAGUUUGCGGAGGUUUGCGAGGCAAAAGCGACUAAUGCCACUAGAAGACUGAAAACUAGAGAGGUCCCCAUUUUCCCCAUCCUUGUGGGUUUAAGAGGAGAUGGAUUUUGGUUUUCUGCUCUAUAUGCGAAGCCUCUACGCCCUUUAUAUAGCUUUGGUGUUUACCCAUCUAAUCAAACUAAGGGUAAAAUAUAGUAAUCAUCAUCAUGUGCCAAAUUUACAUGCCCAAUUAUCAGUCCUCUUUGGUGUAAAACAAGAUUAGCUAGUGUUAAAAAAACACAAAUAGGGGGCCAGCAAGUAUUGACUGGAAAUAUUUUGUUGAUUGAAUUUGAAGAAUAAAACCUAGCUAACCUAUAUAUUAUACAGUGCCAUCUAUCAAAACGAGCAAUUUUUCCAUAGCUUAGUUAAUUAGUUGGUAUAUUUAUUCUCUGGUUUUCAUGAAUGAUUGAGAAAGAGAGAACAAGCUUCGAAAACGUGUGUGGGUUUUGCCCAACUUUUUCUGAUUCUCGCUGUGCCGAGGACCAGGCGGCUUUGCUCUAUCUGGUCUGUCACAGUCACAUUUUGCAUGGCAUUACUCGAAUUUUUUUCUCUGAUUAAUGUUUUGGGGUGGAUUGAAGUGCCUAUUUGCCUUAAUCAAACGUGGUUUAUCACUAAUUAAUCACUUACAAAGACGAAUUAGGUGUCAUAAUUGCAAUGAAUGAUAACUAGAUAUUGUCUCUACUCUUAACUUGUUGUUCCAAACUAGUAGUAUAAACCAAUUAAGUAGAAUUUAUCGUUUAGACCAUUAACAAAGACUAGCUAGCUAUAAGAUCAAAACAAUUCUUUGAAAGGAGAAAAAUGUUAAUUAAACUAGAGUUGA